This 537-nucleotide ribosomal RNA is filed under the name uncultured eukaryote. RNAcentral's name for it is "bacterial SSU rRNA". It matches the Rfam family "Eukaryotic small subunit ribosomal RNA", at positions 554 to 1027 of the family's 1831-position model. The record is from RNAcentral.
GGCAAGUCUGGUGCCAGCAGCCGCGGUAAUUCCAGCUCCAAUAGCAUAUAUUAAAUUUUGUUGCAGUUAAAAAGCUCGUAGUUGGAUCUCGGAACAGGGAAUAACUGGUCUGCCGGUUGGUAUGUACUGUUGUUCCCGUUCUCUACUGAUGGAAACUUAUCUCUACUCUUAAAUGAGCGGAGAGUAGAUCAGUAGAAUGAAUGUUGUUUUCGAACUCAUUCAUUCAAUUACUCCUACUUUUGUAAGUUCCAUCUCAUUUACUUUGAAUAAAUUAGAGUGUUUAAAGCAGGCGAUUUUUUGCCAUUGAAUACAUUAGCAUGGGAUAAUAGAAUAGGACUUCGGUUCUAUUUUUAUUGGUUUUUAGAACUGAAGUAAUGAUUAAUAGGGAUAGUUGGGGACAUUGGUAUUUAAUUGUCAGAGGUGAAAUUCUUGGAUUUAUGAAAGACUAACUUCUGCGAAAGCAUUUGUCAAGGAUGUUUUCAUUAAUCAAGAACGAAAGUUAGGGGAUCGAAGACGAUCAGAUACCGUCGUAGUCUU